UACGUAGGGGGCAAGCGUUGUCCGGAUUUAUUGGGCGUAAAGAGCGUGUAGGCGGUUUGGUAGGUCCGCUGUGAAAACUCGAGGCUCAACCUCGGAACUGCCUUUGAUACUGCAAAUCUCGAGUCCGGAAGAGGUGAGUGGAAUUCCUAGUGUAGAGGUGAAAUUCGUAGAUAUUAGGAAGAACACCAGUGGCGAAGGCGGCUCACUGGUCCGGUACUGACGCUGAGGUGCGAAAGCGUGGGGAGCAAACAGG
Molecule: ribosomal RNA, 253 nt
Filed under: uncultured bacterium
Lineage: Bacteria
Description: partial 16S ribosomal RNA
Rfam family: Bacterial small subunit ribosomal RNA
Source: RNAcentral